Molecule: ribosomal RNA, 515 nt
Filed under: uncultured Glomus
Lineage: Eukaryota; Fungi; Glomeromycota; Glomeromycetes; Glomerales; Glomeraceae
Description: SSU rRNA
Rfam family: Eukaryotic small subunit ribosomal RNA
Source: RNAcentral
AGCAGCCGCGGUAAUUCCAGCUCCAAUAGCGUAUAUUAAAGUUGUUGCAGUUAAAAAGCUCGUAGUUGAAUUUCGGAAUCAGUAUGUUGGUCGUGCUUCGGUACGUACUGUCAUUACUGGUUUCUACCUUCUGAAGAACCUUGAUGUCAUUAAUUUGGUGUCUUGGGGAAUCAGGACUGUUACUUUGAAAAAAUUAGAGUGUUUAAAGCAAGCAUACGCUUGAAUACAUUAGCAUGGAAUAAUGAAAUAGGACGUUUGAUUCUAUUUUGUUGGUUUCUAGGAUCGACGUAAUGAUUAAUAGGGAUAGUUGGGGGCAUUAGUAUUCAAUUGUCAGAGGUGAAAUUCUUGGAUUUAUUGAAGACUAACUACUGCGAAAGCAUUUGCCAAGGAUGGUUUCAUUAAUCAAGAACGAAAGUUAGGGGAUCGAAGACGAUCAGAUACCGUCGUAGUCUUAACCAUAAACUAUGCCGACUAGGGAUCGGAUGAUGUUAUUUUUAAUGACUCAUUCGGCGCCU